AAGCGGAGGAAAAGAAAC
RNAcentral lists this non-coding RNA (18 nucleotides) under Arabidopsis thaliana (thale cress). RNAcentral also lists the same sequence under 1 other name. The record is from RNAcentral. Lineage: Eukaryota; Viridiplantae; Streptophyta; Magnoliopsida; Brassicales; Brassicaceae.